Coffea arabica (coffee) is the source of this 1838-nucleotide long non-coding RNA. RefSeq lists it as uncharacterized. The record is from RefSeq and is a predicted model, not a curated record. NCBI's taxonomy places the organism in Eukaryota, Viridiplantae, Streptophyta, Magnoliopsida, Gentianales, Rubiaceae.
GAAAUAGAUAUCGUUAACUUCAUAGCAGUCCUUAAGAGUUUCCUUUCCCCAAUUUUCUCUCGUUCCAUCUUCUUCCCUGCUUUGCUCUUGGCAGACUAGAACCUUCAUUGCAUCCCAGCAAGAAACCUUGACCCGUCUCUCUGCUACCAGGAUGAAUCCUGUAUUCUUCACCGCUUUUAUAACCUUCUUGUCUCUUAUUCCUAAUCUUCUCGCGAUUUGGUAUUUUACAGUUCUUCUGAUUGGCUCGGCUAGCCAUCUCCAAGCCCCGCUUUGCAAUGUCUGUGCCGAUAGUUAGGGAGGACCAGAACUCAAUUGUCCUAUCCAGUUCUACUGAAGUCCAACUUAUGAUCUGUGGUGGGAUGAUGAACGGGGGGGAUGUGGCCAUUACAGAAGAGAGCACUAUCAGGUGUCAACCAACUAACGGUCUGCUGCACACAAAAAAGAAAAGAUAAUAGACACGAUAAUUCCAUGAAUUCUUUCCAACUAUGGAUUUGAUGAAUUCUUUCAUAAUGAUUAGAUGAAGGUGGAUGGAUGGAUUUCCAGCAUUAAAUCCGGCUGCCGGGUUUAAACAGAGGUUCGCCCCUUGGGUUUUAAAACUGCUGUCUUACUUGUCAAAUUUGGUGAUAAGCUUUGUCUUUCAUACCUGUUCAUUUUCCUGCUUUUUCAGGGGUUUGACAACUGCAAAUAUUUUCCUAAAAAGUGCUUUGUUAGACCAUUCUGAAUCAAAACAUAUGGAUAGGUCAUGAUCAAACUAAUGUAUUUUGUUAUCAUGAAUCACAUUGACUUGUUGAGUUUUCCGAAGAUAAGAUUCAACAAUAUAAAUGCUUGCCAAGAGCUAUAGGAUGGAAAUUUUGAAUAUCAGAAAAUAUAAAUUAAUAUAUAAGUGUUGGAACAUUAACUUUGUUGAUAACGUGCCAGUUGUAUUGACAAAUUUAUUUCACAUUUUCUAAAGGCUUUUGUGACGUCUUUGCAGCUCAUUUAAGCAGUAAGAGGGGUGAGCAAUCGAUAGGGUAUGAAUACCAACAUAGACUAUACUAUUUUUGUGGAUAGUAAACCAAGGUCACAUGUCGUCAUAGGAUAGCGUAAUGGUAUAAGAUUAUAGAGACUGUAAUUGAUAGGAUUAGGCACAAGUUUAUGCCUAAAAGAGAUAUACAUUGUGGAUAUGGAGACCAUAGUAGGAUCUGUGCCUGUAUUGAACCUUAAAAUGUAUUAGUCCAAUAUAUAAGACGAAAAAGAACUAUCCUAAGAUAGAUAAGAUGAAAUUACAAAUCCAAUAUGAGGUCUAAUUUUUUUUCUUUUCUUAGUUAAUGCUUUAGAAGGUACAAAUCCAAUGGGAGGUCUAAUUGUUAUUUUCUUAGUUAAUCCUUUAGAAGGUAAAUGAUCAUAAAACAAAUGUAGCUACAAACUCUCUGUGAAAAAUGAAGUACAUAUUUGUAGUACAGAAUAAGCAGUAAGAGAUAAGAGUUAUUUAUUCAAAAGUUUGGUCGGUAUUCAAAUAAUUUUGUGAUGAAUAGGAAAUAUUAUUAUUGGUAUACAAACAAAAUUUUCAAACAUUUCAACUAAAUUGAAAACUUUGCCCAUUCUCAUGGAGCCACUAUUCAUUUGGAGUAUUUAACCAUUGGAAAAUUUUGUUUGCUAGAGUAUUGAAUCACUUGGUUCUGAUGAACUACGAACUAUUUUUAGUAGAUCAUUUAACCAUGAACUUUAGUCACUAUUUACUUCUGCAGGAAAAUGCUUAAAUGUGAACUUUAAUUUGGGAGAUAAGAUUAAUAAUUCUUUCAUUGGGAUCCUUUCACUAGUUUCAUAUUAAAUAUGAACUUUAUUCACUAAAAAAAAAA